Molecule: long non-coding RNA, 1561 nt
Organism: Chelonia mydas (Green sea turtle)
Lineage: Eukaryota; Metazoa; Chordata; Testudines; Cheloniidae
Exons: 4
Source: RefSeq, a predicted model, not a curated record
CAACCCUGGUAUUCUAUGAUUCUAUGCAUGUGGUGAGCAGACGCACCUACAAGGGAAUGAACAUGAGCAAACACUGGAAGAAGAACUAGUUCAUUUUUGUUUUUUUAAGACCAAGCCAGUAGAAAUAAUGUGACUCCACACCUCUUUGACAGGUUGUGACAGAGCUUCUCUAGUAGGAGGGUUCCCUUUUCUUUCUCCAUGUCCUGCAGGAUGUGGAAAAGUUUAUGCAGGUUCCCAGAUAAAGAUGCUGGAAGGAAAUCUAGGACAGCUGCCAUUCUGCCUAUCAAAUGCUGGAAGGUUCUGAUACCACUUGGGGGAUUUUCAAGAGAGCCUGUGGGCAUCUCAGAGGACUCUCUCACCUUUUUUUUUUAAUCCUUUUCAUUCUCUGUCUGAAUCUAUACCCAGGAGCAUCACUGGUCUGGGUGUCCCUGUUGUUGUCUCCUUUUAUAGAGGACUGUUUUCUGUGAAGAUGAUGACCAUAGGGCCAGAAAGCCCACGAGGUACAGUAGACACAGGCAUCAAUGGGGAGAUGAAGAGUACUGACUAGUAGCUGAAUCUUCAGAGAAUACCAGCAUGGAGGACCUGGUUAAACACACAGCUCGGUGGCACCUUACAUGCUAUAAGAAGUGCACCCAUAAAAUAAAUUUGGCAAGGUUGGAGAGAAAGUAAAUCAAGCACCAGGAAAAAGUUGAAGGCGCUGAGACAAGUGCCAGCUGUGGUAAGUUGGAAACCUGAAGGCAUCCAUUGAGCACAGUCUCAACACAAGAGAGAGGUAUUGUCUGAGAAAGGACCCGCUGAAUAGAGAUCACAGACUAUCAGAUCACUUUCAUCAAAACAGACAUGGUGGAGUUGCCUGUCAGCAUCCAGCCUGCUUUAACAAUAAAGGAAAGCCUUGGGCAUGAUCCUUUCAUAUCAGGUCUGCUUAAACUUUAACAGGGAAGAUCUAAGCCAUAGGAAUGAGGUCUCCAAGUAGCUACUUGGAUUGCCCUGAAAUUCUCACGGAAAAACUCUAACAGACUCUCUACACCUGAACUGCCUAUUGGACUAUAUAAGCCACUGAAUUGAUUCCAGACUUUUACAAAUCAGCAGCCUCACCAUCUCUGCUGUGAAACAGACUUAAGGACUUUACACUAAUUUGUACGUAUAUUGAUCUUUUAACCAUUUAUAACUUUUUUUUUCCUUUUUAUUGCUAAAUCUUACACACUUACAGCCAAUCCUUAAUAAGUAUCUGAAAUAUUCACUGACCUGGGGAGAAAUGUAUCGGAUCCUUUUGGAUUGUAAGAACUUGAUUUAUCGUGAAUAGGGUUUCUAAUAACCUCUCCCCAUGGAUGCUGAAAGGGCCCUUACACUUUUUUUGAAAUUGGACAAGCCUGGUCUGUCCACUUUUCGCCCCUCCGGCCAGGCUGGCAGUUGGAGCCCGGGCUCCAGCCAGAACCAAGUCAGGGUAAGAGUUGUGCAGGCCACUGUGGAAAGCCACAGACCCUCCUGUCCUGGGCGGGGGACCUGUGGAAGGGGGACACGGGCCAGGGCCUGCUUUCCUAUUCUCUCCCCCUCCCCCAGC